This 108-nucleotide microRNA precursor is filed under the name Chinchilla lanigera (long-tailed chinchilla). Its description in RNAcentral is "miRNA (ENSCLAG00000021212.1)". The record is from RNAcentral. Lineage: Eukaryota; Metazoa; Chordata; Mammalia; Rodentia; Chinchillidae.
UUUAUUCAUCUGCUAAUGGACAUCUAGGCUAGUUCUGUAUCAUGGCUAUUAUGAAUUGUGCCACAAUAAACAUGGGUAUGGAGCUGUCUCUACAAUGUGCUGACUUUG